GCGGAUGUGGCGAAAUUGGUAGACGCACUAGACUUAGGAUCUAGCGCCGCGAGGCAUGGGGGUUCGAGUCCCUCCAUCCGCAC
RNAcentral lists this transfer RNA (83 nucleotides) under Echinicola pacifica. RNAcentral describes it as "tRNA-Leu". It matches the Rfam family "tRNA". From Rfam's summary of the family: Transfer RNA (tRNA) molecules are approximately 80 nucleotides in length. Their secondary structure includes four short double-helical elements and three loops (D, anti-codon, and T loops). Lineage: Bacteria; Pseudomonadati; Bacteroidota; Cytophagia; Cytophagales; Cyclobacteriaceae. RNAcentral also lists the same sequence under 11 other names. The record is from RNAcentral.